GAAAUAUUUAUUGUGGCAGUGUCUGAUUGACAGGGAAGGGAGAGAGAGAGAGAGAGAGAGAGAGAGAGAGAGAGAGAGAAAGAAAAAGAAGAAAAGAAGAAGAAGAAGAAGAAGAAGAAGAAGAAAAGAGAGAGAGAGGGAGAGAGCAAAGUGAGAGAGCUUGAUUUUUCAUAUUGUUUGUUUAUCUACUCAUCUAUUUGGAUGGAUCUGCAGGAAUAGAGUUCCUAUCUUAUGAGUUUACAAUGUUCUUGUAUGUUACUAGUACUUCACAGAUUGGGCAUGGAGAGACCAAUGAUAGCAAUCAUCUAUGUAAACAAUAUAUAGUAGUACACUGGGUACUUAGUUCUUAUUUUGAAAUCUACAGAGUUAUAUGCAGUACUAUUAGGAUCAUCAAUAUAUCAGUAAAAAUAACAAAUAAUCAUGAAUUAUAUCUGGCAUAAAAUCAAACAAUAGGUGUUGUUUAUGACUUCUGCCAUAUUAAUUAUUGCUGUGAUGUUGGUGGUAGGGGACAGAAGUUUAUAUAUAUAUAUAUAUAUAUAUAUAUAUAUAUAUAUAUAUAUAUAUAUAGAGAGAGAGAGAGAGAGAGAGAGAGGUGUUAAG
Molecule: long non-coding RNA, 600 nt
Filed under: Marmota monax (woodchuck)
Lineage: Eukaryota; Metazoa; Chordata; Mammalia; Rodentia; Sciuridae
Source: RNAcentral